Non-coding RNA from Candidatus Staskawiczbacteria bacterium, 2085 nucleotides. NCBI's taxonomy places the organism in Bacteria, Candidatus Staskawicziibacteriota. The record is from Rfam.
AAUUAGGUUAUAUGCAAAUGGUGGAUGCCUUGGGAUAUUGAAGCUAUGAAGGACGUGGCGUGCCUGCGAUAAGCUUCGGGGAGGUGGCUAGCAACCUUUGAUCCGGAGACUUCCGAAUGGGGAAACCCGUUUUUGUUAAUACAAAAUCAAUUCUGUCGUAAGACAGAGUAGCGUACCCGCUGAAGUGAAACAUCUCAGUAGGUGGAGGAAAAGAAAACAAUGAAAAUUUUUAUUUUCUGUUGACUAGAAUUCUGAACAGAGAUUAGAAAUUUUUACAUUCCCUUAGUAGUGGCGAGCGAAAAGGGAUCAGCUCAAACCAGUAUUUUUUAAUAUUGGGGUUGUAAGAAUUUAACGUCGGGAGCACUAAAUACUCAAUUUAUGUUGAGUGUUUAAUGUUUGCCGAGGGAGAGCAUUUAGGUAAAUUAUUAAAAGAAGCACCCUGGAAAGGGGCGCCAUAGAGGGUAAUAGCCCCGUAUUCUAAAAUAAUUUUACGCUCCUUGUUAAAUAUCUUGAGUACUGUCGGGAAUGAUAACCUGGCAGGAAACAGGCCGAACUAUCGGCCAAAGCUAAAUAUUCAAUAUCACCGAUAGUGAACCAGUACCGUGAGGGAAAGGUGAAAAGUAGGGGGAUGACCCCGGUGAAAUAGAACCUGAAACCAUUUGCUUACAAAGAGUCGGAGCCCCGACGCAAGUUGUGGGUGACGGCGUGCUUUUUGCAGAACGAGCCAACGAGUUUGAUUAUUCAGCUUGUCUAAGCCCUUUUGGGGCGAAGGCGUAGCGAAAGCGAGUGUUAAUAGCGCGUUUGCUGAAUGUUCAAGACCCGAAGCCAGACGAGCUUACCAUGGGCAGGAUGAACCAAGACGAAAGUCGAGGGGAGGUCCGAACCCGUAAGGCGUGCAAUCCUUUGGGAUGACCUGUGGUAAGGAGUGAAAAGCUAAUCGAGUUUGGUAAUAGCUGGUUCUUCCCGAAACAGCUUUGGGGCUGGCGUCUAUGGUGAAAUAUGGGGGUAGAGCACUAGAUAGAAUUCCUUGGAGUUUCUCCAGGUUUUCUAACUAAACUCCGAAUACCAUAUUUUUAAACAUAGGCAGUUAGUCUACGGGGGCUAAGCUCCGUAGACAAAAGAGUAACAGCUCAGAUCAUCGUCUAAGGUCCCUAAAUUAAACUAAGUGUUAUGAAGGAAGUAUUUUGCCCUCGACAGGCAGGAAGUUAGCUUAGAGGUAGCUAUCUUUUAAAGAGUGUGUAACAACUCACUGUCCUAAUCCAGACGUUUACGUCUAGAAGGGGCCGAAUGCGCCAAAGAUUUCCGGGGCUAAAGUUUAAUACCGAAGACAUGGAUGCUGAUAAUUUAUUAUCGGCGUGGUAGGGAAGCAUUCCUAGCGCAUUGAAGCCUGCGUGUAAACAAAGGUGGAGUACUAGGAAGAGAGAAUGUUGGCCUGAGUAACCGCAAGUCUGGUGAAAGCCCAGACCACCGAAAGUCCAAGGUUUCCUUGGCAAUGGUAAUCAACCAAGGGUUAGGCGGUCCUAAGGCGAACCCGAGAGGGGUAGUCGAUGGACAGUCGGUUAAUAUUCCGACCCUUGAAUACUUUUUUAAUGAGUGCGCAGUGUAGUAAUUUUAGCGGCUAAUCGGAUUUCCGUUCUUGGCUUGUGGGGCAACCUGAAAGCACAGAAAAGUUGGUAGUAAUAUCAGCAAUUAAAGUGAGCGCGCUGCCUAGAAAAGCUCAAAAAUUAUAUAGUAUUCAAACCGUACCGCAAACCGACACAGGUGGACAAGCGUAAGUGUGCUAAGGUGAACGGGUGAAACCUCGUUAAGGAACUCGGCAAAUCAGUGGCCGUAAGUUCGCAAUAUGGCCUUCCCAAGUCCGUAAGGAUUUUGGGACGCAGCUAACGUAUUUCAAGCGACUGUUUAUCAAAAACACAGCUCCCUGCUAAACUCGUAAGAGGAUGUAUAGGGGGUGAGGCCUGACCAGUGCUGGAAUGUUAAGUUUGGGGGUGCUGGCCGUAAGGUUAGUGCUCACUGAAUGAAGCACCAGUGAACGUCGGCGAUAACUAUAAUCGUCCAAAGGUAGCGUAAUCCCUUGCCGGGUAA